AAGUCGUAACAAGGUUUCCGUAGGUGAACCUGCGGAAGGAUCAUUAUUGAAAUAAACCUGAUGGGUUGUUGCUGGUUCUCUAGGGAGCAUGUGCACGCCUUGUCAUCUUUAUAUCUCCACCUGUGCACCUUUUGUAGAUCUUUCAGGUCUAUGUUGCUUCAUUUACCCCAAUGUAUGUUAAUAGAAUGUUGUUCCUAUAUAAAUAUAUACAACUUUCAGCAACGGAUCUCUUGGCUCUC
This 239-nucleotide unclassified non-coding RNA is filed under the name Cortinarius sp. RNAcentral's name for it is "partial internal transcribed spacer region". The stretch from base 1 to 46 matches the Rfam family "Eukaryotic small subunit ribosomal RNA", at positions 1786 to 1831 of the family's 1831-position model. Lineage: Eukaryota; Fungi; Basidiomycota; Agaricomycetes; Agaricales; Cortinariaceae. The record is from RNAcentral.